Molecule: small nucleolar RNA, 134 nt
Filed under: Sorex araneus (European shrew)
Lineage: Eukaryota; Metazoa; Chordata; Mammalia; Eulipotyphla; Soricidae
Source: RNAcentral
GGGCAGAUAGGAGGUACCUGCUUGUAAUGAGAAGUGGGGGGGGAAGAUAUUUCUGAUGUGCUAAACCAACCUUUGGAGGUAAAUUUAGCAGCAUGGCUUAUUUGGCCAUUGCUGUCAGUCACCUUCAGACAACU